UGACCACAACGGCUUCCUGACGUGGUGAGAUUAUUUUGAAUGGAGCA
RNAcentral lists this non-coding RNA (47 nucleotides) under Sulfitobacter brevis. RNAcentral's name for it is "SAM-SAH-Weickhmann-2018 RNA". It matches the Rfam family "SAM/SAH riboswitch aptamer". Lineage: Bacteria; Pseudomonadati; Pseudomonadota; Alphaproteobacteria; Rhodobacterales; Roseobacteraceae. The record is from RNAcentral.